RNAcentral lists this transfer RNA (72 nucleotides) under Pseudomonadota bacterium. RNAcentral's name for it is "Proteobacteria bacterium (mine drainage metagenome) tRNA-Cys". It matches the Rfam family "tRNA". From Rfam's summary of the family: Transfer RNA (tRNA) molecules are approximately 80 nucleotides in length. Their secondary structure includes four short double-helical elements and three loops (D, anti-codon, and T loops). Further hydrogen bonds mediate the characteristic L-shaped molecular structure. tRNAs have two regions of fundamental functional importance: the anti-codon, which is responsible for specific mRNA codon recognition, and the 3' end, to which the tRNAs corresponding amino acid is attached (by aminoacyl-tRNA synthetases). tRNAs cope with the degeneracy of the genetic code in two manners: having more than one tRNA (with a specific anti-codon) for a particular amino acid; and 'wobble' base-pairing, i.e. permitting non-standard base-pairing at the 3rd anti-codon position. The record is from RNAcentral. Lineage: Bacteria; Pseudomonadati; Pseudomonadota.
GGCCGGGUAGCAAAGUGGUAAUGCAAGGGCCUGCAAAGCCUUUAUUCGCCAGUUCGAUUCUGGCCCCGGCCU